This 446-nucleotide ribosomal RNA is filed under the name uncultured bacterium. Its description in RNAcentral is "bacterial SSU rRNA". It matches the Rfam family "Bacterial small subunit ribosomal RNA", at positions 329 to 792 of the family's 1533-position model. The record is from RNAcentral.
UGCCAGACUCCUACGGGAGGCAGCAGUGGGGAAUAUUGCACAAUGGGGGAAACCCUGAUGCAGCGACGCCGCGUGAGCGAUGAAGUAUUUCGGUAUGUAAAGCUCUAUCAGCAGGGAAGAAGAUGACGGUACCUGACUAAGAAGCCCCGGCUAACUACGUGCCAGCAGCCGCGGUAAUACGUAGGGGGCAAGCGCUAUCCGGAUUUACUGGGUGUAAAGGGAGCGUAGACGGCGAUGCAAGCCAGAUGUGAAAGCCCGGGGCUCAACCCCGGGACUGCAUUUGGAACUGUGUGGCUGGAGUGUCGGAGAGGCAGGCGGAAUUCCUAGUGUAGCGGUGAAAUGCGUAGAUAUUAGGAGGAACACCAGUGGCGAAGGCGGCCUGCUGGACGAUGACUGACGUUGAGGCUCGAAAGCGUGGGGAGCAAACAGGAUUAGAUACCCCGGUA